AUUCUAAACUUUCAUUUUCAUUCUUUCGACAUAAAAUUUUUUCAUUUGUAGAAUAUUCUUGGUGUUACACCUUUUCUCAUCCAUUAAAACUUUUACAGGUAUCUAUUUAUUAUUUUAAACUAAAAAUCCGAAGCCUAAGUCGUCCCUGCUGCCCGAAACGUACAAAUUUGAAAUUAAAUACUGGCAAUACCAAGAUAUUUUCGGCGACAAGACGAUUAUAAGCUUUUCUCAGUUUCGCACCUAAGAAUAUCAUCCGAAAGACUUGCGUUCUUCAAAGUAAAAAUACGAAGCCGACGAACCAAGGUCGAUAGUGCCAGCUGCAGACAGUGACGGAUACGCAACAAAUACGAUUGACCGAUAUCGACAGGAUCGAUUUUGCCCUCUCCCCCCGAGAUUCAACCCUCGAUGAGUAUUUAAACUUUGCCGAAAGGAAAAA
Pogonomyrmex barbatus (red harvester ant) is the source of this 436-nucleotide long non-coding RNA. NCBI's taxonomy places the organism in Eukaryota, Metazoa, Arthropoda, Insecta, Hymenoptera, Formicidae. The record is from RefSeq and is a predicted model, not a curated record.